RNAcentral lists this ribosomal RNA (253 nucleotides) under uncultured bacterium. RNAcentral's name for it is "partial 16S ribosomal RNA". It matches the Rfam family "Bacterial small subunit ribosomal RNA", at positions 524 to 776 of the family's 1533-position model. The record is from RNAcentral.
UACGGAGGGGGCUAGCGUUGUUCGGAAUGACUGGGCGUAAAGCGCGCGUAGGCGGAUCGUCAAGUCGGGGGUGAAAUCCCGGGGCUCAACCCCGGAAUGGCCUUCGAGACUGACGGUCUUGAGUUCGAGAGAGGUGGGUGGAAUUCCGAGUGUAGAGGUGAAAUUCGUAGAUAUUCGGAGGGACACCAGUGGCGAAGGCGGCCCACUGGCUCGACACUGACGCUGAGGCGCGAAAGCGUGGGGAGCAAACAGG